GCUGAUAUGGCUCAGUUGGUAGAGCGCGACCCUUGGUAACGGGUGAGGUCCCCAGUUCGACUCUGGGUAUCCAGCACCA
This 79-nucleotide transfer RNA is filed under the name Klebsiella pneumoniae. RNAcentral's name for it is "tRNA-Thr". It matches the Rfam family "tRNA". From Rfam's summary of the family: Transfer RNA (tRNA) molecules are approximately 80 nucleotides in length. Their secondary structure includes four short double-helical elements and three loops (D, anti-codon, and T loops). Further hydrogen bonds mediate the characteristic L-shaped molecular structure. tRNAs have two regions of fundamental functional importance: the anti-codon, which is responsible for specific mRNA codon recognition, and the 3' end, to which the tRNAs corresponding amino acid is attached (by aminoacyl-tRNA synthetases). tRNAs cope with the degeneracy of the genetic code in two manners: having more than one tRNA (with a specific anti-codon) for a particular amino acid; and 'wobble' base-pairing, i.e. permitting non-standard base-pairing at the 3rd anti-codon position. The record is from RNAcentral. Lineage: Bacteria; Pseudomonadati; Pseudomonadota; Gammaproteobacteria; Enterobacterales; Enterobacteriaceae.